UGUGAUCAAGAGGUCGAUGGUGAU
Molecule: non-coding RNA, 24 nt
Filed under: Gossypium hirsutum (cotton)
Lineage: Eukaryota; Viridiplantae; Streptophyta; Magnoliopsida; Malvales; Malvaceae
Source: RNAcentral